UGUCUUCUGCGAGCGGUGCG
This 20-nucleotide unclassified non-coding RNA is filed under the name Chlamydomonas reinhardtii. RNAcentral describes it as "small RNA Cre_3547". The record is from RNAcentral. Lineage: Eukaryota; Viridiplantae; Chlorophyta; Chlorophyceae; Chlamydomonadales; Chlamydomonadaceae.